Molecule: ribosomal RNA, 253 nt
Filed under: uncultured bacterium
Lineage: Bacteria
Description: partial 16S ribosomal RNA
Rfam family: Bacterial small subunit ribosomal RNA
Source: RNAcentral
UACGGAGGGGGCUAGCGUUGUUCGGAAUUACUGGGCGUAAAGCGCACGUAGGCGGCUUUGCAAGUUAGAGGUGAAAGCCCGGGGCUCAACUCCGGAAUUGCCUUUAAAACUGCAUCGCUAGAAUUGUGGAGAGGUAAGUGGAAUUCCGAGUGUAGAGGUGAAAUUCGUAGAUAUUCGGAAGAACACCAGUGGCGAAGGCGGAUCUCUGGGCCGUAACUGACGCUGAGGAGCGAAAGCAUGGGGAGCGAACAGG